Molecule: non-coding RNA, 134 nt
Organism: Salmo salar (Atlantic salmon)
Lineage: Eukaryota; Metazoa; Chordata; Actinopteri; Salmoniformes; Salmonidae
Source: Rfam
CUUCCCCUCCCUUACUCCAGUCACUCUGUACCCAGUGGGGUGGUCUGGCAUUGACAGGGGAUACAGCACUGUGGCCCUCACCUCUCUCAUCUAGGACUUUUCUCCUAUAUGAGGCUUGUGAGAGAGCUGACAAU